Molecule: ribosomal RNA, 484 nt
Filed under: uncultured bacterium
Lineage: Bacteria
Description: partial 16S ribosomal RNA
Rfam family: Bacterial small subunit ribosomal RNA
Source: RNAcentral
AUUGAACGCUGGCGGCAGGCCUAACACAUGCAAGUCGAGCGGAUGAAGGGAGCUUGCUCCUGGAUUCAGCGGCGGACGGGUGAGUAAUGCCUAUGAAUCUGCCUGGUAGUGGGGGAUAACGUCCGGAAACGGGCGCUAAUACCGCAUACGUCCUGAGGGAGAAAGUGGGGGAUCUUCGGACCUCACGCUAUCAGAUGAGCCUAGGUCGGAUUAGCUAGUUGGUGGGGUAAAGGCCUACCAAGGCGACGAUCCGUAACUGGUCUGAGAGGAUGAUCAGUCACACUGGAACUGAGACACGGUCCAGACUACUACGGGAGGCAGCAGUGGGGAAUAUUGGACAAUGGGCGAAAGCCUGAUACAGCCAUGCCGCGUGUGUGAAGAAGGUCUUCGGAUUGUAAAGCACUUUAAGUUGGGAGGAAGGGAAGUAAGUUAAUACCUUGCUGUUUUGACGUUACCAACAGAAUAAGCACCGGCUAACUUCGUG